UUUGAUCUGGCUCAGAUUGAACGCUGGCGGGAUGCUUUACAUGCAAGUCGAACGGCAGCCUGGACUUCGGUCUGGUGGCGAGUGGCGAACGGGUGAGUAAUGUAUCCGGAACGUACCUAGUAGCGAAGGGAUAACUACGCGAAAGCGUAGCUAAUACCCGCAUACGCCCUUCGGGGGAAAGCGGGGGACCUUCGGGCCUCGCACUAUUAGAAGCGGCCGAUAUCGGAUUAGCUAGUUGGUGGGGUAACGGCUCACCAAGGCGACGAUCCGUAGCUGGCUGAGAGGACGACCAGCCACACUGGGACGAGACUGCGGCCCAGACUCCUACGGGAGGCAGCAGUGGGGAAUUUUGGACAAUGGGGAAACCCUGAUCCAGCCAUCCCGCGUGUGCGAUGAAGGCCUUCGGGUUGUAAAGCACUUUUGGCAGGAAAGAAACGGCACGGGAUAAUACCCCGUGCAACUGACAGUACCUGCAGAAUAAGCACCGGCUAACUACGUGCCAGCAGCCGCGGUAAUACGUAGGGUGCAAGCGUUAAUCGGAAUUACUGGGCGUAAAAAGCGUGCGCAGGCGGUUCGGAAGAAAGAUGUGAAAUCCCAGAGCUUAACUUUGGAACUGCAUUUUUAACUACCGAGCUAGAGUGUGUCCAGAGGAGGUGGAAUUCCGCGUGUAGCAGUGAAAUGCGUAGAUAUGCGGAGGAACACCGAUGGCGAAGGCAGCCUCCUGGGAUAACACUGACGCUCAUGCACGAAAGCGUGGGGAGCAAACGGGAUUAGAUACCCUGGUAGUCCACGCCCUAAACGAUGUCAACUAGCUGUUGGGGCCUUCGGGCCUUGGUAGCGCAGCUAACGCGUGAAGUUGACCGCCUGGGGAAGUACGGUCGCAAGAUUAAAACUCAAAGGAAUUGACGGGGACCCGCACAAGCGGUGGAUGAUGUGGAUUAAUUCGAUGCAACGCGAAAAACCUUACCUACCCUUGACAUGUCUGGAAUCCCGAAGAGAUUUGGGGAGUGCUCGCAAAGAGGCUCCGGAACACAGGUGCUGCAUGGCUGUCGUCAGCUCGUGUCGUGAGAUGUUGGGUUAAGUCCCGCAACGAGCCGCAACCCUUGUCAUUAGUUGCUACGAAAGGGCACUCUAAUGAGACUGCCGGUGACAAACCGGAGGAAGGUGGGGAUGACGUCAAGUCCUCAUGGCCCUUAUGGGUAGGGAUUCACGUCAUACAAUGGUCGGGACAGAGGGUCGCCAACCCGCGAGGGGAGCCAAUCCCAGAAACCCGAUCGUAGUCAGGAUCGCGAUCGCAACUCGACUGCGUGAAGUCGGAAUCGCUAGUAAUCGCGGAUCAGCAUGUCACGGUGAAUACGUUCCCAGGUCUUGUACACGCCCGUCCACACACCAUGGGAGUGGGUUUUACCAGAAGUAGUUAGCCUAACCGUAAGGAGGGCGAUUACCACGGUAGGAUUCAUGACUGGGGUAGAAGUCGUAACAAGGUAG
This 1488-nucleotide ribosomal RNA is filed under the name uncultured Bordetella sp. RNAcentral describes it as "partial 16S-23S ribosomal RNA intergenic spacer". It matches the Rfam family "Bacterial small subunit ribosomal RNA". The record is from RNAcentral. Lineage: Bacteria; Pseudomonadati; Pseudomonadota; Betaproteobacteria; Burkholderiales; Alcaligenaceae.